CUCUCUCUCUCUCUCUCUCUCUCUCUCUCUCACACACACACACACACACACACACACCACCCUCAACAGGCCCUCCUGAAAGCAAGAUCUCCUAUUGGCACUUUGGACCAAAGUUUUCCACCCCCCUUUCCUUUUAUCAUAACAAAGCUUCCAACUCAGACCACAAGAGAACUGGACUUUUCUCCCCCUGUUUCUGGCCUUCUCAUUCUUUCUCUCUCUUUCCUUGGCUCUGAAGAUGAUGGAGACUUUGUUGCAAGUAAGGAUGCCUUUAGGUCAAAUGGCCCAGGCCUAGCUGGGAGCUGAGAUUGAUCCUGGAAGGGAAAGCUGCUUCCUGAGCAUCUACUUUGCCCAAUGAAUCAUCUCAAAACUCAUGGCGCAGCAGCCAUAGCAUUGGCAGUUGCCUCGACUGCAAUGUGAAAGUGUUAUGCAAGGCCUCCUUUCUUUCCUGCAUCCUUUACGGACUUUUGGACCUAUUAGGAAUGCAAAAACCGGCUUGUUGCUGCACCGGAAGGAGUAAGAGAUAAAAGGAGAAUAGGCACAGAACCAUUUUGCUGGAAAAUCACCAGAAUGUGCUGAGCGUUUUCAAGGAUAUGAUGUCACAAAAUUGCAUGAGGGUAGACAUCAGAUGCCGUUACAAAAGAAGCAGAUGCAGCGCAGGCAAAUGGCGAUUUUAAAAUCCUGUACCAUCAAAAACCAUCUUGUUUACAAAAUCAUAGAUUUGGAAAAUCCCAUUCUCUCUCUCUCUCUCUCUCUCUCUCUCUCUCUCUCACACACACACACACACACACACACACACACACAGUUCUUUGCAGCACUUGAUGGAACUUUUAUGUUUUCCUUUAUUUUAUUUUUUUAAUUCCUUGGAAGUAUUGUAAAUUAACAGUUGUAUUUUACAUUUAAAAAAUAAUAAUUUGUGGGUAAACGUUUUAAAUGUGCUAUGAAUACCAUUUUACAUGCUGGUGCACAUGUGGGUCCUUUUGUAGAUGCACUUAGCAUAGUGGUUUGCCUGCAUAUGUAUCUUGUGAAAACCCCACUGCCCCAAUCUGGCAGAGGCAUUUUGAGAACAGAUAUGGGAUUCUGUACAUGGAUUGGUCCUCGGGAUCAGUUCCAUGAGCGUGCGCACAAAAGUACUGUGUAGUAAAAAUAAACAAAUCCUUGCAUUGAGAA
Non-coding RNA from Podarcis muralis (Common wall lizard), 1167 nucleotides. The record is from RefSeq and is a predicted model, not a curated record. NCBI's taxonomy places the organism in Eukaryota, Metazoa, Chordata, Lepidosauria, Squamata, Lacertidae.